UAGCCUCAGCACUAACAGGAACUACAAGAGCUAAUUUUUUAAAAGUCUGCUUGUUUUCCUCCCAGAUUUCUGCUGUCAGGCGCUCUGAGGCAGCGAUCGCGCUGAAAACACGUUCAUCAAGUUAUUCAACGUUUGUUGCUCCAGUAAAACACCGCAGGAAGCCUCAUCCAGUAUGAUUGCAUUUUUAUAUU
Molecule: long non-coding RNA, 191 nt
Organism: Thalassophryne amazonica
Lineage: Eukaryota; Metazoa; Chordata; Actinopteri; Batrachoidiformes; Batrachoididae
Exons: 3
Source: RefSeq, a predicted model, not a curated record